GUGCUUCGGCAGCACAUAUGCUAAAAUUGAAACAAGACAGAGAAGAUUAGCAUGGGCCCCGAGCAAGGAUGACACGCAAAUUCAUGAAGCAUUCCAUAUAUUU
Pteropus alecto (black flying fox) is the source of this 103-nucleotide non-coding RNA. Lineage: Eukaryota; Metazoa; Chordata; Mammalia; Chiroptera; Pteropodidae. The record is from Rfam.